Molecule: ribosomal RNA, 375 nt
Filed under: Triticum aestivum (bread wheat)
Lineage: Eukaryota; Viridiplantae; Streptophyta; Magnoliopsida; Poales; Poaceae
Description: partial small subunit ribosomal RNA
Source: RNAcentral
AUGAGUCCACUAUACCUUCCUAUAUGCGGUAUUUACCCGCCGUUCCAAGUAAAUUGGUAUGUGCCAAACUCCAAACCUUCAAAUGAAAUUAUGUUUUGUAUGCUCGAGCAGCUCAUAUUACAACUAGGGCUGCCUAUAUCUUCCAUGCUAGGUGGGUUAUUCUCAAGAGGAGUGGACUCCGCUAGUCAUUCACGAGAAAGGACCGGUAACCGGGAUGCCCAGUCCCAUGAUCCAAAAAGAUCAAAGAAAAUCAAAAUAAUUAAACAAAACUCCCCUGUGGUUGUUGUUAGUUGGAGGCACUCAUUGUUUCGAGCAAGCCAUGGAUUGAUGCUUGUUGGUGGUUGGGGGAGUAUAAACCUUUACCAUUCUGUUUGA